UCUCAGGCUGUGACCCUCUAAAGGGAAGCACUUUCUGUUACUUGAAAGAACAAAAGUCGCGUCCCUUUAGAGUGCUACCGUUUGAGA
Callithrix jacchus (white-tufted-ear marmoset) is the source of this 87-nucleotide non-coding RNA. The record is from Rfam. Lineage: Eukaryota; Metazoa; Chordata; Mammalia; Primates; Cebidae.